Molecule: ribosomal RNA, 502 nt
Filed under: uncultured bacterium
Lineage: Bacteria
Description: partial 16S ribosomal RNA
Rfam family: Bacterial small subunit ribosomal RNA
Source: RNAcentral
GCCGAACGCUGGCGGCGUGCCUAAUACAUGCAAGUCGAACGAACCGCGACUGAGUGCUUGCACUUGGUCAAGGUGAGUGGCGAACGGGUGAGUAACACGUGGGUAACCUACCUCAUAGUGGGGGAUAACAGUCGGAAACGACUGCUAAUACCGCAUAGGACAUGGAAUCACAUGAUUCUGUGAGGAAAGGUGGCGCAAGCUAUCGCUAAGAGAUGGACCCGCGGUGCAUUAGCUAGUUGGUAGGGUAAGGGCCUACCAAGGCGAUGAUGCAUAACCGACCUGAGAGGGUGAUCGGCCACAUUGGGACUGAGACACGGCCCAAACUCCUACGGGAGGCAGCAGUAGGGAAUCUUCCGCAAUGGACGCAAGUCUGACGGAGCAACGCCGCGUGAGUGAAGAAGGUCUUCGGAUCGUAAAGCUCUGUUGUUAGAGAAGAACAGCGCAUAGAGUAACUGUUAUGCGUGUGACGGUAGCUAACCAGAAAGCCACGGCUAACUACGUG